This is a small nuclear RNA of Callithrix jacchus (white-tufted-ear marmoset), 113 nucleotides long. The record is from Ensembl. Lineage: Eukaryota; Metazoa; Chordata; Mammalia; Primates; Cebidae.
GAAGAGUAUCGUGCUCACUUCAGCAGCUAAAAUUGGAACAACAUAGAGAAGAUUAAUUAGCAUGGCCCUUGCGCAAGGAUGACACGCAAAAUCAUGAAGUGUUCCAUAUUUUU